RNAcentral lists this transfer RNA (83 nucleotides) under Batrachochytrium dendrobatidis JEL423. RNAcentral's name for it is "tRNA-Leu (CAA) (tRNA-Leu-CAA-2-1)". It matches the Rfam family "tRNA". Rfam says of the family: Transfer RNA (tRNA) molecules are approximately 80 nucleotides in length. Their secondary structure includes four short double-helical elements and three loops (D, anti-codon, and T loops). The record is from Rfam by way of RNAcentral. Lineage: Eukaryota; Fungi; Chytridiomycota; Chytridiomycetes; Rhizophydiales.
GGUUGUUUGGCCGAGUGGUCUAAGGGCGCCGGAUUCAAGUCCCGGUCUCGAAAGAGGCACGAGUUCGAACCUCGUAGCAAUCA